UACAGAGGGGGCAAGCGUUAUUCGGAAUUAUUGGGCGUAAAGGGCGCGUAGGCGGCUUUGCAAGUGACGGGUGAAAGCCCUCGGCUUAACCGAGGAACUGCCUGUCAGACUGUAAGGCUUGAGACCGGGAGAGGUGAGUGGAAUUCCCAGUGUAGCGGUGAAAUGCGUAGAUAUUGGGAAGAACACCGGUGGCGAAGGCGGCGCUCUGGACCGAGACUGACGCUGAGGCGCGAAAGCGUGGGGAGCAAACAGG
This 253-nucleotide ribosomal RNA is filed under the name uncultured bacterium. RNAcentral describes it as "partial 16S ribosomal RNA". It matches the Rfam family "Bacterial small subunit ribosomal RNA", at positions 524 to 776 of the family's 1533-position model. The record is from RNAcentral.